RNAcentral lists this ribosomal RNA (1528 nucleotides) under Klebsiella pneumoniae. RNAcentral describes it as "bacterial SSU rRNA". It matches the Rfam family "Bacterial small subunit ribosomal RNA". Lineage: Bacteria; Pseudomonadati; Pseudomonadota; Gammaproteobacteria; Enterobacterales; Enterobacteriaceae. The record is from RNAcentral.
AGAGUUUGAUCAUGGCUCAGAUUGAACGCUGGCGGCAGGCCUAACACAUGCAAGUCGAGCGGUAGCACAGAGAGCUUGCUCUCGGGUGACGAGCGGCGGACGGGUGAGUAAUGUCUGGGAAACUGCCUGAUGGAGGGGGAUAACUACUGGAAACGGUAGCUAAUACCGCAUAACGUCGCAAGACCAAAGUGGGGGACCUUCGGGCCUCAUGCCAUCAGAUGUGCCCAGAUGGGAUUAGCUAGUAGGUGGGGUAAUGGCUCACCUAGGCGACGAUCCCUAGCUGGUCUGAGAGGAUGACCAGCCACACUGGAACUGAGACACGGUCCAGACUCCUACGGGAGGCAGCAGUGGGGAAUAUUGCACAAUGGGCGCAAGCCUGAUGCAGCCAUGCCGCGUGUGUGAAGAAGGCCUUCGGGUUGUAAAGCACUUUCAGCGGGGAGGAAGGCGUUAAGGUUAAUAACCUUGUCGAUUGACGUUACCCGCAGAAGAAGCACCGGCUAACUCCGUGCCAGCAGCCGCGGUAAUACGGAGGGUGCAAGCGUUAAUCGGAAUUACUGGGCGUAAAGCGCACGCAGGCGGUCUGUCAAGUCGGAUGUGAAAUCCCCGGGCUCAACCUGGGAACUGCAUUCGAAACUGGCAGGCUAGAGUCUUGUAGAGGGGGGUAGAAUUCCAGGUGUAGCGGUGAAAUGCGUAGAGAUCUGGAGGAAUACCGGUGGCGAAGGCGGCCCCCUGGACAAAGACUGACGCUCAGGUGCGAAAGCGUGGGGAGCAAACAGGAUUAGAUACCCUGGUAGUCCACGCCGUAAACGAUGUCGAUUUGGAGGUUGUGCCCUUGAGGCGUGGCUUCCGGAGCUAACGCGUUAAAUCGACCGCCUGGGGAGUACGGCCGCAAGGUUAAAACUCAAAUGAAUUGACGGGGGCCCGCACAAGCGGUGGAGCAUGUGGUUUAAUUCGAUGCAACGCGAAGAACCUUACCUGGUCUUGACAUCCACAGAACUUUCCAGAGAUGGAUUGGUGCCUUCGGGAACUGUGAGACAGGUGCUGCAUGGCUGUCGUCAGCUCGUGUUGUGAAAUGUUGGGUUAAGUCCCGCAACGAGCGCAACCCUUAUCCUUUGUUGCCAGCGGUUAGGCCGGGAACUCAAAGGAGACUGCCAGUGAUAAACUGGAGGAAGGUGGGGAUGACGUCAAGUCAUCAUGGCCCUUACGACCAGGGCUACACACGUGCUACAAUGGCAUAUACAAAGAGAAGCGACCUCGCGAGAGCAAGCGGACCUCAUAAAGUAUGUCGUAGUCCGGAUUGGAGUCUGCAACUCGACUCCAUGAAGUCGGAAUCGCUAGUAAUCGUAGAUCAGAAUGCUACGGUGAAUACGUUCCCGGGCCUUGUACACACCGCCCGUCACACCAUGGGAGUGGGUUGCAAAAGAAGUAGGUAGCUUAACCUUCGGGAGGGCGCUUACCACUUUGUGAUUCAUGACUGGGGUGAAGUCGUAACAAGGUAACCGUAGGGGAACCUGCGGUUGGAUCACCU